Molecule: transfer RNA, 107 nt
Filed under: Equus caballus (horse)
Lineage: Eukaryota; Metazoa; Chordata; Mammalia; Perissodactyla; Equidae
Rfam family: tRNA
About the family: Transfer RNA (tRNA) molecules are approximately 80 nucleotides in length. Their secondary structure includes four short double-helical elements and three loops (D, anti-codon, and T loops). Further hydrogen bonds mediate the characteristic L-shaped molecular structure. tRNAs have two regions of fundamental functional importance: the anti-codon, which is responsible for specific mRNA codon recognition, and the 3' end, to which the tRNAs corresponding amino acid is attached (by aminoacyl-tRNA synthetases). tRNAs cope with the degeneracy of the genetic code in two manners: having more than one tRNA (with a specific anti-codon) for a particular amino acid; and 'wobble' base-pairing, i.e. permitting non-standard base-pairing at the 3rd anti-codon position.
Source: Rfam by way of RNAcentral
GUCAGGAUGGCCGAGUGGUCUAAGGCGCCAGACUCAAGAUUCUGCUUCCCAAUGUUGGGGCUUCUGGUCUCCGCAUGGAGGCGUGGGUUCGAAUCCCACUUCUGACA